This 826-nucleotide ribosomal RNA is filed under the name Robillarda australiana. RNAcentral's name for it is "partial 28S ribosomal RNA". It matches the Rfam family "Eukaryotic large subunit ribosomal RNA", at positions 69 to 922 of the family's 3401-position model. Lineage: Eukaryota; Fungi; Ascomycota; Sordariomycetes; Amphisphaeriales; Sporocadaceae. The record is from RNAcentral.
CAGGGAUUGCCCUAGUAACGGCGAGUGAAGCGGCAACAGCUCAAAUUUGAAAUCUGGCCUUCUGGUCCGAAUUGUAAUUUGUAGAGGAUGAUUUUGGUGCGGUACCUUCCGAGUUCCUUGGAACAGGACGCCUUAGAGGGUGAGAGCCCCGUACGGUUGGAUGCCUAGCCUUUGUAAAUCUCCUUCGACGAGUCGAGUAGUUUGGGAAUGCUGCUCUAAAUGGGAGGUAAAUUUCUUCUAAAGCUAAAUAUUGGCCAGAGACCGAUAGCGCACAAGUAGAGUGAUCGAAAGAUGAAAAGCACUUUGAAAAGAGGGUUAAAUAGCACGUGAAAUUGUUGAAAGGGAAGGAUUUAUGACCAGACUUUUUCUAGGCGGAUCAUCCGGUGUUCUCACCGGUGCACUUUGUCUAGUUUAGGCCAGCAUCGAUUUUCGGCAGCGGAUAAAAGCUUCAGGAAUGUGGCUCCUCCGGGAGUGUUAUAGCCUGUUGUAUAAUACGCCGCUGGGGAUCGAGGUACGCGCUUCUGCAAGGAUGCUGGCGUAAUGGUUAUCAAUCACCCGUCUUGAAACACGGACCAAGGAGUCGAACAUUUAUGCGAGUGUUUGGGUGUUAAACCCUCACGCGUAAUGAAAGUGAACGGAGGUGAGAGCCCUUACGGGUGCAUCAUCGACCGAUCCUGAUGUUUUCGGAUGGAUUUGAGUAAGAGCAUAACUGUUCGGACCCGAAAGAUGGUGAACUAUGCGUGGAUAGGGUGAAGCCAGAGGAAACUCUGGUGGAGGCUCGCAGCGGUUCUGACGUGCAAAUCGAUCGUCAAAUCUGCGCAUGGGG